This 253-nucleotide ribosomal RNA is filed under the name uncultured bacterium. Its description in RNAcentral is "partial 16S ribosomal RNA". It matches the Rfam family "Bacterial small subunit ribosomal RNA", at positions 524 to 776 of the family's 1533-position model. The record is from RNAcentral.
CACGGGGGGAGCAAGCGUUGUUCGGAUUCAUUGGGCGUAAAGAGCUCGUAGGCGGCUCUGUAAGUCGGAGGUGAAAUAUCACGGCUCAACCGUGAAAACGCCUUCGAAACUGCGGAGCUUGAGGCCGGGAGAGGAAAUCGGAAUUCCUGGUGUAGCGGUGAAAUGCGUAGAUAUCAGGAGGAACACCGGUGGCGAAGGCGGAUUUCUGGACCGGUUCUGACGCUCAGGAGCGAAAGCCAGGGGAGCAAACAGG